CCUACGGGUGGCAGCAGUGAGGAAUUUUGGUCAAUGGACGAGAGUCUGACCCAGCCACGUAGCGUGAAGGAUGACUGCCCUAUGGGGUGUAAACUUCUUUUAUAAAGGAAUAAAACGAGGCACGUGUGCCUUUUGUCAUGUACUUUAUGAAUAAGGAUCGGCUAACUCCGUGCCAGCAGCCGCGGUAAUACGGAGGAUCCGAGCGUUAUCCGGAUUUAUUGGGUUUAAAGGGAGCGUAGAUGGGUUGUUAAGUCAGUUGUGAAAGUUUGCGGCUCAACCGUAAAAUUGCAAUUGAUACUGGCAGUCUUGAGUACAGUUGAGGUAGGCGGAAUUCGUGGUGUAGCGGUGAAAUGCUUAGAUAUCACGAAGAACCCCGAUUGCGAAGGCAGUUUACUAAACUGUGACUGACAUUGAUGCUCGAAAGUGUGGGUAUCAAACAGGAUUAGAUACCCGAGUAGUC
This 460-nucleotide ribosomal RNA is filed under the name uncultured bacterium. RNAcentral describes it as "partial 16S ribosomal RNA". It matches the Rfam family "Bacterial small subunit ribosomal RNA", at positions 338 to 795 of the family's 1533-position model. The record is from RNAcentral.